This 99-nucleotide non-coding RNA is filed under the name Megasphaera geminata. RNAcentral describes it as "Anaeroglobus geminatus TPP sequence". It matches the Rfam family "TPP riboswitch aptamer (THI element)". From Rfam's summary of the family: Vitamin B(1) in its active form thiamin pyrophosphate (TPP) is an essential coenzyme that is synthesised by coupling of pyrimidine and thiazole moieties in bacteria. The previously detected thiamin-regulatory element, thi box was extended, resulting in a new, highly conserved RNA secondary structure, the THI element, which is widely distributed in eubacteria and also occurs in some archaea. RNAcentral also lists the same sequence under 1 other name. The record is from RNAcentral. Lineage: Bacteria; Bacillati; Bacillota; Negativicutes; Veillonellales; Veillonellaceae.
AAUAAAAGCUAGGGGAGCCGUAAACGGCUGAGAAAAGACACUUUGACCCUUUUACCUGAUGUAGAUAAUCCUACCGUAGGGAAGCUUAACAGGACUUCU